GAGGGCUUAGGUUAAAGAUAUUUUAAACUAUUGGUCUUCAAAACCGAACAUGCGUCAAAGUAGCUCUUG
This 69-nucleotide transfer RNA is filed under the name Rhodosoma turcicum. Its description in RNAcentral is "transfer RNA-Trp". Lineage: Eukaryota; Metazoa; Chordata; Ascidiacea; Phlebobranchia; Corellidae. The record is from RNAcentral.